CUCUCUGCUCUCCCCUGAUAGGAUGAUUCCUGUGCACCCUCUCUAGGAAAUUUUUUUUUUUGUGUGUGCGUGUGUUUCUUUUAUUUCAUUUUCAACAAAAACAGGAAGCACACUUUAUUUUUCCUUCCACCACUCCUCCACCUCAGUCCACCCCGGCGUUACCUGGAGGCACGCGGACUCGCCGGAAGAGCAUGUGAAUGGCCAAAGACACCUUUGCUGAUUUUGCCACCAGUCCUACCCCAUGGCUUUGCCAACAUCAGGAGGAGUGAUGCCAGUUCCAGACCAGCCAUCUGUGUCGGAAAAAAAUAGCUUGCUGAGCCCCAUGCUGACGGCUUCCAAUGGAGAUGGCUCUGAGCCAGAGACCACUUCUGCUAUUCUGGCUUCAGUCAAAGAACAGGUUGGAAUUACAGAUGCCUCAGGGUGAAACGUAUGAGACACAUUUUCCUCUUGUGUUCAUUUUCUUCCUCAAAAAUCAAUCAGAUUAAAGUUUGCC
This is a long non-coding RNA of Rhincodon typus (whale shark), 493 nucleotides long. RefSeq lists it as uncharacterized. NCBI's taxonomy places the organism in Eukaryota, Metazoa, Chordata, Chondrichthyes, Orectolobiformes, Rhincodontidae. The transcript has 4 exons. The record is from RefSeq and is a predicted model, not a curated record.